GAGAGUAUAGCUCAGUGGUAGAGUGAGUGCUUAGCAUGCACAAGGUCCUGGGUUCAAUCCCCAGUACCACCA
RNAcentral lists this transfer RNA (72 nucleotides) under Camelus ferus (Wild Bactrian camel). It matches the Rfam family "tRNA". From Rfam's summary of the family: Transfer RNA (tRNA) molecules are approximately 80 nucleotides in length. Their secondary structure includes four short double-helical elements and three loops (D, anti-codon, and T loops). Lineage: Eukaryota; Metazoa; Chordata; Mammalia; Artiodactyla; Camelidae. The record is from Rfam by way of RNAcentral.